This is a long non-coding RNA of Mastomys coucha (southern multimammate mouse), 466 nucleotides long. RefSeq lists it as uncharacterized. The transcript is spliced from 4 exons. The record is from RefSeq and is a predicted model, not a curated record. NCBI's taxonomy places the organism in Eukaryota, Metazoa, Chordata, Mammalia, Rodentia, Muridae.
AAUCACACGCCAGUCUCAGCUCAGUCCCGGGACUGCGCUUCACACAGCUUUUGGGGAAGCGGGGGAGGGGACCAGGACGGCAGAGGGAGCGCCAGCAGAGGGACAAAAAGGUCUAUCUGCUUUGCAUCUGGAGCAAUCUGAGCUUGAUUACAGAGGAUGAAGUAGAGUAUAAACAAAGUUGCUGAGAGAGAACCUGAAGUUGUAAUCAGACCUCCGGGAUCAGGCACAUAAAUACUCUGCAGCAGAAAUCCCACUAGCUGCAGGAGCUGGAAUUACAUGAGCAACCUCUGCUUGUCAUAUAGAAGCGUUUGAGAGGAGACUACACUCACACGUCUGCGCUUUAGUUUAGGGUGAGAUGUUAAGCAAGGACCAGAGAGGAGUGUGUUAAACCAAACCCUGCUGGAUGUUGUAACCAGAAAUCUUACUUUUAGGAAUUUCUGAAAGUCAUGUAAGCCAAAUGAGACAG